UACGUAGGGGGCAAGCGUUAAUCGGAAUUACUGGGCGUAAAGGGUGCGUAGGCGGCGCGGUAAGUCGGGCGUGAAAUCUCGGAGCUUAACUCCGAAACUGCAUUCGAUACUGCCGUGCUUGAGGACUGGAGAGGAGACUGGAAUUUACGGUGUAGCGGUGAAAUGCGUAGAUAUCGUAAGGAAGACCAGUGGCGAAGGCGGGUCUCUGGACAGUUCCUGACGCUGAGGCACGAAGGUCAGGGGAGCAAACGGG
Molecule: ribosomal RNA, 253 nt
Filed under: uncultured bacterium
Lineage: Bacteria
Description: partial 16S ribosomal RNA
Rfam family: Bacterial small subunit ribosomal RNA
Source: RNAcentral